UAAUACCGCAUACGACCUAAGGGUGAAAGCGGGGGACUCGCAAGGGCCUCGCGCUAUUGGAGCGGCCGAUGUCAGAUUAGCUAGUUGGUGGGGUAAAAGCCUACCAAGGCGACGAUCUGUAGCUGGUCUGAGAGGACGACCAGCCACACUGGGACUGAGACACGGCCCAGACUCCUACGGGAGGCAGCAGUGGGGAAUUUUGGACAAUGGGCGCAAGCCUGAUCCAGCCAUGCCGCGUGCGGGAAGAAGGCCUUCGGGUUGUAAACCGCUUUUGUCAGGGAAGAAACGCUCUGGGCUAAUACCCUGGGGUAAUGACGGUACCUGAAGAAUAAGCACCGGCUAACUACGUGCCAGCAGCCGCGGUAAUACGUAGGGUGCAAGCGUUAAUCGGAAUUACUGGGCGUAAAGCGUGCGCAGGCGGUUAUGCAAGACAGAUGUGAAAUCCCCGGGCUCAACCUGGGAACUGCAUUUGUGACUGCAUAGCUGGAGUACGGUAGAGGGGGAUGGAAUUCCGCGUGUAGCAGUGAAAUGCGUAGAUAUGCGGAGGAACACCGAUGGCGAAGGCAAUCCCCUGGACCGGUACUGACGCUCAAGCACGAAAGCCUGGGGAGCAAACAGGAUUAGAUACCCUGGCAGUCC
This 639-nucleotide ribosomal RNA is filed under the name uncultured bacterium. RNAcentral's name for it is "bacterial SSU rRNA". It matches the Rfam family "Bacterial small subunit ribosomal RNA", at positions 164 to 796 of the family's 1533-position model. The record is from RNAcentral.